This 265-nucleotide ribosomal RNA is filed under the name uncultured Oscillospiraceae bacterium. Its description in RNAcentral is "partial 16S ribosomal RNA". It matches the Rfam family "Bacterial small subunit ribosomal RNA", at positions 76 to 339 of the family's 1533-position model. Lineage: Bacteria; Bacillati; Bacillota; Clostridia; Eubacteriales; Oscillospiraceae. The record is from RNAcentral.
UCCAAUUGAAGCAGAGGACAGUGGCGGACGGGUGAGUAACGCGUGAGGAACCUGCCUUUCAGAGGGGGACAACAGUUGGAAACGACUGCUAAUACCGCAUGACACAUAGGUGUCGCAUGGCACUUAUGUCAAAGAUUUUAUCGCUGAUAGAUGGGCUCGCGUCCGAUUAGAUAGUUGGUGGGGUAACGGCCUACCAAGGCGACGAUCGGUAGCCGGACUGAGAGGUUGAACGGCCACAUUGGGACUGAGACACGGCCCAGACUCC